UUAGUUUGACAACAAGAUUGUGUAAUGUUUAUCACCUAAAAUUAUGAACAUGUUUUGGUGGAGUACUCCUGUAAUAUCUCUGUGUGUGUUGUGAGUUCUAGAACACUGCUGCCUCCUGCUGACCCUUGCAGCCAUUUGUUAUCAAAGAUUCCCUCCGUGCUGCUGAUGAGAAAAGGAAGAAUGUGUGGUGUAUAAUGGCGCCCACAGAAGCCAGAUGCUCGUGAUCAAGUGAAUGGAAGACGACACACGGAACAGUGGAGCCCAUCAUUGUCCAACUGCUCUGUUGUGUCUGGGAGCCAUUGAUUGUCGAUGAAGCCACAGCAGGCGAGAAGACACUCCACUUUCCCUCAAUAGAGUCACUGUUGGCAAACCUGUAGAAGUAAAUUGCAGUAUGAGGAGUAAACAGCGACACUCUUUAAAGUGAGAGAGAUGCUUCCCUACCAUUUAUCAACAUGGUCUUAAAUGGGCUGAGCUGUGUCUCACCUGAUGAUUUCAUUGGUGUGUGAGGGUGGAAGCAACUUGAGGGACAGUAGCAUGAGUGAUGGGCAGAUUUUCAGAGCCCACUAGAUGGCACUCUUUGCUCUGAAAUCUCUGGAUUUGAACAACCAUUUCAGAGAAACCUCACAUCAUUUUUAAACCAAGAGCGCCGCCUUCUGGGCUCUGAAAAUGAGGACACUGUUUCAUGAAGCCUCAUCUGCCCAUCACUAAGUAGCACCUGUAAGUCAGAAAAAAAGACGUGUUCCAAUUGACAUUUCUGGAAGAUUCCCUGGAAAUCCAUUCAUAGCUUUGAAUGGUACAUUGUUGGUAAAUGUCAGCAAAAACAAAGCUUCUUGUGUUGCUUACAAGUAACAUCCGACUUCCCAUCCGAACAACCGGUCGUAAAUCAGAUUGGACAUAAGUCGAAUGCUAUUCAAAAUGGCAGACGCGAGGGUUAUAGGUGCUACUGUAGCGGUAGAUGGCUGUGUGAGAGUGAGAUGCUGGGAUACUGUGCUGCCGUAACUUUCAUACGCGAUAAAAAAAAUAAACAUCUGCUGGCCGUGGUAGUACGGGUUGACCUAAGUCGAGCAGGUCGUAAGUUGGAUGUUACAUGUCCGCUGGAAUAUUAUAGGCAAGUAAAAACAAAACAAUGAAGCAGCUGUUUAAACUCAAAACCAGUGGAUGUUAAGAACAAUUUUGUGCAGAUCUGUUUUCAGUCGUGACAAGUUAGACAUAGCUACAGGGGCCCGAUCACCCCAAAAAGUGUGGGCCACAAAUUCGGAACAUCCAGCAGAAGCACAGCUUGAGGCGCGAGGUCAGUGAGUUUAUAACCGACUCUAAAAUGGAUGGAAGGUUACAAGUGUGUUGAGGUCACGUCUGUUGGUCAGUAGAUGGGCAGCUGCGAUCCACAGCAGCCGGAGGCAGCGAAGGGAAGACUUGCUCGGUGGUUUCCCUCCUGGUCAGCUUGCCUAAUGUAUGUGCAAUCUUGAGAGAACCGUUUCCAAUUUACUGACUAACCACCCACAUCGAUUUCUAUCAUGUGCAGGGACAUUAGGUUUCCAUUUAAAUGGGAGUCCUAUUAUCUUCAGUCAAAUCAGUGACUCGGGAUUUUAAUAGAAAGAAAUGAACGGCUCAUGUCGACCAGUAUGUGAGUGUAGUGGUGCAUAUGUUAAAUAAAGUCAGCGGUUUGGUUUGAGGGGUGUGAGAGGCCUCCCUCUCACUGGGCGGCCCAGAGAAAUAAGCAGAGAGGAAGUAGAUAAAAGGGACGAGGAAGCGCCGGGAGCAAUAUACAGCGGUCGGCGAUCCUGCCUCCAUUCUGUCUUCACAUUAUGAUAUCUAAUAUUUCCCUGCUUCCCAACCUCCAGGGAUGUCAAAAUAAUGAAACAGACGUGUUUGGGAAAGCGCUCCUGCUUUCAUUCACCGUAUCAGGACAUACUGCAUACGCUUAUUAUUUAUUUUCCACGCUCUAGAACCAAUAUCUUCUCAGAAAUAUUAGAGGUAUGAUGAAAAAAGAAGCCUCCACAAACGUGAGAUGGCAACAUCUGUGUUUUGACUGACGAUACGCUCAUGUGAAAUAUUCAUACGCACUUAAACGCAGCCCGGCUCGCCCUCCGUGCCACCCUGUGGGUCGUGGGAGCGGAUGUAAGCGUGAGAGCUGCGAUGCUAACAGGCUGUCAGACUGCUGACAAGUAACGCCACGAUCUGCUGGUCCACAUUAUCACACAGAGCUGGAGGGAGGGACUCACCGCAGCUACAGCGGCACUGCUUUUCCCACUAUAUUCCCUAGUAUCUUUUCAUUGCUAUGAAGCUGUUUUAGCACUUUCCAUCCAGGAUGGAUGGUUUGGAGAAGCGGCUGAACAUCAUGUGGGUCACAGCAAACCCAAACUGCCUCUCUUUGUUCAGGUGAUUUUUCUGGUCAGCUUUUAUGAUUUGAGUUGCGAAGCAAGCGCCUAUCAUCCUGAAACAGGAGCAAGAGUCUCAAAUCCAGAUUGUCCAGGUUAUUACCUGAAGAUGUGUCAGUACACUCAGUCAUGAAAACAGUCCCUUGCGCUGACCCACCCCAAUGUACAACCACAAAAAUCUGCCACAACAUUCCUCAGUCAAAGACACCACCUGUACCAAUCCCUCCAUCAUAGAAGAGUUUUAGACCCGAGUACCUGCCUCUGCCCUUGAACACUGCGCUAUUAUUUGGAACUGUGAACACCUCAGCCAAAUCAUCCUAAAAAAGAUGUCGCACAUUUCCUUUUCAUUUCCGCAGAAAAUAAAUAGAAAUCCAUCCGUGCGUUCAAAGUUGGCAGCAUCCGUUUGGAAACAGCCCAGAUCUAAUGUCCUCUGAAGGAGGACAAAACCCAUUGCAACGCCAUGUGAAGUGUUUGCAUCCAUCAGCUGACACUUGUGUGGAACAUAGAAAGUUAGCAUCUCAGCCAGUGUUUACCUGUGACUCGCUUCCAACUGUUUUAACCAAAAAUACAGCUUCAAAUACAGCUGUAUUAAGAACUGUGUAGCAUCCUUAUUCAGAUUAAUCUUUAAAGCUGUAGCUUCUGCCUUAACCUUUCAAAAAGCAGGUUAACAAUGCAAUGGGGACCGACUCUAUCGUUGGCAUUUGAGGCUAUUGUCAGUUUGGUCAUUGUGAUGUGCAUAGCAAUGUAAAGGACCACCGUCCCAAACUCUUGAGUUUAUGUUCACAGUGAAGAUGGCAAGCCAGACGUCAUGCUGUGGUCCUCACCUGACCGCUUACAUGACUGACCUAGCAGUUCCUUGUGAGGACGCAAUGGAAGAGGCCUUGAAGCGUAUGCAGACCAGGCUGCUGAAGCGGAACAGAUUUGCUGGAAAACAAGAGUUUGCCCAGUGGAGGUUGGCAGAGGAGGUCGCUUCUUGACUCCUCCGAAUAACGCCUAUCUAGAGGAGGCAAGUUUCUGGCUGCGGAUUAAGAGAAGCGGUCCCCUGACCAUGUCAUGGACCUGUCAUGGAAACGCUCACAAAGAGGGAUGCUGAAGCGGGUACAUCUCACCAGAGCAGGCAGGGCAAACCGUUCCCCAAAAUGGUGGAUAUGGCUGCAGAAUUGGUUCCAACCAAACAACUGACCUCAGUCUUCAGAAUGAUGAUUCGUUCAACCGAGUGCUCACAUAAACCUGUGGCCACGCCUGAUCCUCCUGUCGGUGAAUGAUCUGUCUUCUUCAGUGUCAUCCACAUCACUGGGAAGUACUAUGUCCUGAAGUAGCAUGCUGGAUGCUCCCCUCUUCUGAUCUUUUCAUCGAAGUGAAGCCACCAAAGGGAGAUUCCCCCAAUCCUGGUUUCAAAACCCAGUUUACAUCCAGAGUAAGGUUCGGGUUAGGGCUAAACACUAGGUUAGAUUAUGCCUAUAAACCAGCAUAAUGUGCUCAAAUGACCACUUUGUUUUCCCAUGGUAAACAUACCAGAAGGGCAAAACUAUAUGUGAGCGGUCUAUGAAGAGCUACGGAAACCCCCUCCAGUUGGCGACGAAACACCCGAGCCACAGCCGGACCCUUCUCAAUGACACUCCUGCGAGUACGAAACCACCAUGGCUUAAACAAUCAUCCACAUUUAUUGUCUUUUUAAUCCUUGAACAAACGGACAAAGUUCGAUAAGCCGUCACAAUAUAUGAAAAACUGCUGCACUGUUUGUUUCUUCACACCAAAUAGAAAUACUGUACAGAUCCACCUCAGAGAGUAGAUCAACACACAAGGUGAUUUGGGUCAUUACAUUCAGUAAGAACCAGCAGGCCCUUUUUUUUUUCUUUAAAAAGAGGGGAAUGACUAAAAGUUACUUCUGGAAUUCACAAAUGCCGCAGUAGAACAUGAGAUCAGAGUGUCAAUAGUGCAGUUUUGGUAGUUAGUAGCAACAACAGUGAGAGCAAUGAAACAACAAGAAGGGAGCACAGUUUUGUCUUUUUUUUUCUUACCACUUGAACACCUGGAACAUUCGCCCGUACGUGUACGAACAUGCACGAGGGGCAACACGGACAGGAAUCAAAUAAAUCACCGGCAUCAACACAAACACAAUUAUAAAUUAACAAUGUGCAAAUCGCCAAAGCAACACAGAAGUAAACCUUCCAGAGCUGAAACACGGCGCUUCCUCUUCCUGUAAAAAAUUGCAUUCAGAAGCAACUGUACCAAGUUUAUUUUGUCGCUAGAUUUGUAUUUGUUCUGUUCAGAGGUUUGUUCGCGGCGCCCUGCAGACGGAAUAUUGGACACAAUGAAGCAUGCGGCAAGUCGCUCCUGAUGUCGUGGCGCUUAUUGUCUUCCACCAAUGAUGCAAAUCUGCGCAGCCAGCAUGCAUGAGAGCCUCCGUUUAACACAGUGGGAAGAAAACCUUUGACAGAUAACAUGUUACUUUAAGUCACGGAGGCUUCGUGCUGUACGCACGUGUGACUCGAUAGGUCGGCAGACGUUGGUAGUGAUGUCUGUGCUGCGUUCACAUACAAAGCUGUGGGGGGCUUUUUUGAUCCAACACCUCUUGCUCUGCUGAUAAAGUGUUUGAUUUGUGGACAAACCACCUGGCAUCUUAGUUCAGACUCUCCCCAAAGCCAACAAGCGCAGAGAGGGGCGGCACAAUUGGCAGUUGAGGUUGACUAACAUGUCAACGUCUAUCCCUUUUGAACAGGUAUCAGAUGAUGGGAUGGUUUGGAUGAUGCCGUAUGUUUAAUUUUUGCAUUAGCGCAUUUCAGUAUUUGCAGGUUGCAAAGUUUGGAGGACAAUUCCUUUUGCAUCAUUUGCAGAUGGCGACAGUGUUUUUACAUACACAUUUACGCUAUUUGCUAAACCUGCCGUUCUCCAACCAGUGGCUUCCUUUGUAAGAGUCUAAACGCCGCUACAGAUCUAGUCAAUGAAUGUCCACACUAGGCUGCGUAUUAUUCAAUGACACUCCAUGGUGCGGCACUCUUGGUUCUGUUUUUUUAGCCAGCCUCGCCAUCACGUCACUCGAAAGACCAAUGAAUCAUUGAGGCAGGAAGUCAGUCGAUCCAAGGCAAAAUGGACCCAGUAAAACACUACGUGCAGAUUUUGAAUCAUGUGUCAACAUGACAGCGGUGCCAGCAGCACAGCAAAGCACUACAAACCUGCGUCCACCACACAACGCAGUCUGCUUAUGACAAUGUAUCUUUCAUGAAUCCAAAUGCAACGGAUCCAUUUCACAUAUUUCCUGGGAAUUUCAUUCAAAUCCGUCACUCCCAUUACAAGUGUCUCAUAGUCGAUAGAAGACCAAAGGUACAUUUAUUAAGUCUAAACUUCAACAAGCCUUUUUCAAGCAGGGAAAGUGGCACAAUAGCAGCGUGGCUUGUAUGUGAACGUAGCCUUUCACCUCUGGGAAAACGCCAGUGCAGGGGGAGCAACAGAGGUAUCGUGAACAUCACAUCAUUAUUAUUAUAAAAACCACGGUCUGUUGCGAAGAACAACUCACUCGACCUUCGUCUCGGGUGUGAGAUUGUAAACCAGGAGUGACCCGGUAAGAGCAGCUGCCAAUUUCCCACGAUCUCCAAAGACGACAGAACAACACUUCUGGUCACUGCACUGUCAAACACGUCUUUUUUUUUUCUUCUUCUUUUUUUUCUUCUUGUCCACUGCAGCACUUUCUUCUGCAUUUACUUGUGUGUCCAGGUCACACUUCAGUACCACACACCUUUGAUACACAUAGUCUUUUUUUUCUGUCUUGCUGAUGCUGUUUUGAGGUUCCAUGUUUCUUUAUUAUUUUACAUCCCACAGUUGUCUUCGUGCCUGACAAUCAUCCAGGACACUCGCGGCAGCUCCAUCCUCUCAGACCGAGCCUUGUCGUCCAGCGGUAUUGUUUCCUGCUGCUUCGUCAGGACAGCGCUGGAGCUCAUGAGCCUUCGGCAGCUGUUGCACAGCACUCCCUCCUGCGUCGCUUCUCCGCUCUGGUCCUUCCUGUCAACAAGGCCGUUGUGGCACCUGGACACCAGCAUGUGGCGCUCCUCCGGACUGCAGAUGGGAACCGAUGACUUGGUGAUGUCAGGAAGGUGAGGCAGCCGGGAGACGUGGUUGAGCAGACUGGCGGUUUUGGUGUUGGGGGUGUUACUGUAGGUGUGGCGGUACUCCUCCUCGAUGUUCCGCCCAAGCUUCCAGCGCUUCCACUUCUUCAGGACCUCAGAUUGGACCUGAUGGGAGAUAUCAAAUUACUUCAUGCAUCAACUAAAAGAAGUAAAAAUACUUACUUCUUUGUUCACGAAGCAGUACAAGAUCGCCACCAGGAGGCCCUGCGGAGACGAUAAAUGAUGUUAGCAUAUGUGACCCGGACAUGAGGCGAGAGGAUGCCCACAGCGACAAGAUGCCACCCAGGAAUCCCGCGCCACACAACCUGAGUUUCACUCUUUCCUUUCCCCAUGGUGGCCAAGGUGGCGCUAGCACACCGGUGUUUUGUCGCCAUUUAAUCUGUCAAAACACAUUGACACAGCAGAGCUUUGGUCUGACACCUACAACGGCCUCAUUGGCCCACUCCAAAAAAUAAAUAAAGAAAUAAAUAACAACAUGAGAUUUGAAGUCGAAAAUACAUGAUUUAAAAUCGUGAGAUUAUGAGAUUUAAACUAAAAAAUUAUGGGAUUUUAAGUUGUAGCAUGACAUGAUAUAAAGUCAUAAUAUUACAACGUCAGUAUGCCGGGCAGCGUCACAUUCAACUUACAAAUACAACAAUACUGCUACUUUAAAUCUCAAAAUAUUACGGUAUUAAAUCUCAUAUUGUCAUAAAAAAACACACCGAGAAAGACAGUGUGAUCAGAUUCAUCUUUCCUGUUAAAGGAACAGCAGCUACAGACAGUUCUGUUGUACACAUUGGUGUGGUUUAACCCCCCUGACAGUUUUUUUACAGCUGAAAACAGGAAACCAUGUUUAUUUGUGUCUGACGUAGACCCAAGGUCCUGGACAGACAAACUGCAGCCCCCAGUUUCCACAUCACGUUUGUGGGCCUUAACAACAACAACAAACAAGCUGAUCUGCAGCAGGCGCACGGUAGCGUCUUGUGGCUCUGCAUCUUUGACCCGGAGCUCCACUCUGCAUCCGGCACAUGUGUCACUCUCAUCAUUAAGACGAUUCCGACGCGGAGCGGCUGCCCUCGCAGCACAUGUCAUCUCUGUCCUCGGAGCACAAAGGUCGGCCAUUAUGCCACAGAGGCCAGAGCAGAACCGACAUGUAAUCGUCUCUGACAUGGAAGCAAAUGCCAGACUUGUCUUCUGUGUCGACGUACAAGGAGCUGAGGGCAUCUCUCAUCGCCUACUGUUAAAAUCCACACACACUUCUUCAUGCCUUACCUGGAAGGAGGAGAGGAAGAGGUCAAUGAAUAGCUUUGUGAGCCGCAAACCCAUGGUGGCUUUCGUGGUCUCGUCUAGGACGAAAAUGAAGACCACCUGGUGGAUGCCCAGCAGGGGGAUCAGGGUCAGCGUCGACUUGGCCAACCUGAGAUAAGAUAAGAGACCCAGUUAUAGAGCUACCUCUGCAGCCAGACAAAAAAAAAAAAAAAAAAACGUUUCAUCAUCCUCCCCCUGACCUGAACUUGUAAUCCGUGUAUCUCAUUUGGUGCGCCCGCAGCUUGGACACCAGGAUCUUUAUAAUGUGGAUGAAGAUAAGGAAGUUGAUCUGUGGAGCAUCAAGCUGCAGAACCAUAAGCAGAAUGACCACAAGAGCGGCGACCUACUCUUGGUUUUCAUGAAGAUACUUGGCCACCACCCAGGGCACCAGGAAUAUUAAGGGCGUCCCUGUGAAGGAAUGAGAGCUUCAGCUGAUGGACUCCAGCCAGAAGAGGUGGAACCAAUGGACUCACCCCAGCCGAUGCACAGGUCAAGUCCAGCAUCCAUAUCUGUCUGCGAUUGGAGUACAAAAUACAAGAACUGCGACCAAGUCGUAACAGUAAACACAAUCUGGUUUUUCUUUUUGAGUCAGGUGAAGUCAAGUUUCUGUGGUCUUCAAUCUGACCGCAGUAACCUCCGGGCAGAUGGUUUGCAGACUGAGCUGUAGCAGCUGAGAACCCGCCACACCGCUUCAACACAGAACCUCCCUCACAUCGAUCACCUCUGGACACUAGAUGUCUCUUUUUGGAACUGACCUCAUUGUUGACCAGCAGCUCCAUAGGAGGUAUGGAGGCUCUGGGGAAUCCCUGCUCCUGGUCUCGGCCCAAAUCCUGUGACGUGUUGUUGGCCUCCAGCAGGGCGUCCUUGAUGAGGAUCGACAGCGCUCGCAGGAUGAACGACGCAAACAGAUUCAUGUGGAUAUUGUUUCUCAUGCAGUGGAGCUUCCUGCACAUUAAAAAGACAUCAAGUUACUUCAAAGAAAACCUUACCGCAGUACUGUAUUGCAGUCAAAAGACAUGUUCGUACAUCUCACUCUACAGUGUGUUUUUUUCUCUCCGUAUCUUUAUCCAAAUAUGGGCCACUUUAAUAGGGCAUUUUUGAGUUUAGAAAGUCUUAAUUUAUAGCUUGAAUCAUAUGGAAUGCAAAGAGUGCCAUGAUUAAAUAAUAAAGGAUUGGGGAAAAAAAUCUAUACAAAAUAACAAUACUCAUUUAUUAGCCUAUGAGGACAUACUGUGAAACAUGUAGAAAUGUUCAAUUCGCUUCCUAUUUUCCACCUGUCAAUUUGAACGUAUUUUAAAAUAUAUUUCCACUUUUUUUUGUCUUUAUUAUUUAGUUAUUGCACUCCUGACAUUCCAUACAUUUAUUAUGGGGCCGACAUAGCCACCAGAAAACAUGAGCGUUCUGAGGUUGUUUGUAAAAAUGUAUGAGAACAUUUUUAUUAGAAUAAGAACAUAAUGUGUAGCAUCAAGCUAAAUAUUGAAUAUGAUAUAGAUAGAUUUUGCAUGCAUGAGGAAAUACACUAUGUUCUAUGAAAAAUUGCCAAAACAAAAAAAUGUAGGAUUUUGUGUGAAAUCUAGCUUCAUUUUUUUAACAGAGUGCCACCUACUGACCGCUGAAAGUGAGGACAGUGUUUCAUGAAGCCCCAC
Molecule: long non-coding RNA, 9435 nt
Organism: Synchiropus splendidus (mandarinfish)
Lineage: Eukaryota; Metazoa; Chordata; Actinopteri; Syngnathiformes; Callionymidae
Exons: 7
Source: RefSeq, a predicted model, not a curated record